UACGGAGGGUGCUAGCGUUGUUCGGAAUUACUGGGCGUAAAGCGCGCGUAGGCGGCUUUGUAAGUUAGAGGUGAAAGCCCGGGGCUCAACUCCGGAACUGCCUUUAAGACUGCAUCGCUUGAAUCCAGGAGAGGUGAGUGGAAUUCCGAGUGUAGAGGUGAAAUUCGUAGAUAUUCGGAAGAACACCAGUGGCGAAGGCGGCUCACUGGACUGGUAUUGACGCUGAGGUGCGAAAGCGUGGGGAGCAAACAGG
RNAcentral lists this ribosomal RNA (253 nucleotides) under uncultured bacterium. RNAcentral describes it as "partial 16S ribosomal RNA". It matches the Rfam family "Bacterial small subunit ribosomal RNA", at positions 524 to 776 of the family's 1533-position model. The record is from RNAcentral.